Molecule: ribosomal RNA, 449 nt
Filed under: uncultured bacterium
Lineage: Bacteria
Description: partial 16S ribosomal RNA
Rfam family: Bacterial small subunit ribosomal RNA
Source: RNAcentral
AGCGAACGCUGGCGGCAGGCCUAACACAUGCAAGUCGAACGAGGUCUUCGGACCUAGUGGCGGACGGGUGAGUAACACGUGGGAACGUGCCCUUUGGUACGGAAUAACUCAGGGAAACUUGAGCUAAUACCGUAUGUGCCCUUCGGGGGAAAGAUUUAUCGCCAUUGGAGCGGCCCGCGUCUGAUUAGCUAGUUGGUGAGGUAACGGCUCACCAAGGCGACGAUCAGUAGCUGGUCUGAGAGGAUGACCAGCCACAUUGGGACUGAGACACGGCCCAAACUCCUACGGGAGGCAGCAGUGGGGAAUCUUGCGCAAUGGGCGAAAGCCUGACGCAGCCAUGCCGCGUGGAUGAUGAAGGUCUUAGGAUUGUAAAAUCCUUUCACCGGUGAAGAUAAUGACUGUAGCCGGAGAAGAAGCCCCGGCUAACUUCGUGCCAGCAGCCGCCGUAA